UUCCAAUGAUGAUAAUCUUAUUCAGUUCUGCUUCUGAAACAGAAUGAAGAUACUUUAUACCAAAUCCAAAAUAUCUGAUGC
RNAcentral lists this small nucleolar RNA (81 nucleotides) under Thielaviopsis punctulata. Lineage: Eukaryota; Fungi; Ascomycota; Sordariomycetes; Microascales; Ceratocystidaceae. The record is from RNAcentral.